AAGAAUUUUUCGUCCGUAGGCCCGAUGUUCACCAAUUAUGGGCUACUCAUCACGUUGAGCAUCCACUGUAGUGGUUAUCGGUCCAAUCCACUAGAAAUAACCAGUAACAGUUUCAAUACAAGGUUAUAGAAUCAAGAAUCACACAGAUCUGCCCUCAGACUUUCCUUUAUCUCGAAAAACCUAACCUUAGAAACGAUUACACCAAGUAACCCUAACCAAACUGCUCAACAAGAGCAGAAAUCAAAAUCUCACAGUUUAGGCACUCUAGAUCUCAUCAAGGAUAUCUAGAUUACAAAAGUUAUCAGAAAAAUCAGAGGAUUUCAGAGAGAGACGAAGAUGAAGAAGAGAGAAAAUCCUAGAAAUCUCUCAAAAUAUCUGAUUGCACUACCCAACGAAGAGUCACAGGGAGUAUAUAUAUCAGCAUGCAUCCAGCGGUUAUAAAGGCUCCACGUGUUAUGAUCUAGAGCAUCCAAUUUGAGAAAAUGCGUUUAAUAAUAGAAAACACGCCUUUGUCCAAUUUAAACAACCGGGUCACAUUCUUUAAUUGAUCCAUAACUGGGCUGCAUCAUUGAGCCUCCAAAAAAUGUCAAGCAUCAUUUUUAACAAUCUCCACCUUGAUUAACAAUUUUUGGAUUUCGUUUGUGAAUUGGAGGUUAAAACUUCCUUUUGGUUUCAUUCGCUCUAUGUACCUGCAAAAGAACUUUAAUUAGUGACAACAUUUAGGAGAUUUAAACAAUCCCUAAAUUUGUGUAAAGGAAGUAUUUUAGUUCCCAUAUCAGCUGGAUUACACUUAGUUGAAACCUUCUCAAUUUUUAUGAUUUCCUUUUCUAUGAUAUCCCUUAUGAAAUGAAAUUUCACAUCUAUAUGUUUAGUUUUAUCAUGAAAAAUUGUGUUUCUACUAAGGUGUAUAGCUAAUUGGCUAUCUGAAAAUACAGUAGCAUCAUUUUUAGAAAAUCCAAUUUCAUUUAACAAACUUUUUAACCAAAUCCCGACCUUUACAGCAUCUGUAGCUGCAAUAUACUCAUCUUUUGUUGAUGAUAGAGCUACCAGUUUUUGCAACUGAGACUUCCAACUUAUGCAUGUAUCAUUUAAAGUAAAGACAUAUGUAGAUGUUGACUUCCUUUUGUCACAAUUUUCAGCAAAAUUAGAGUCAACAAAGCCUUAAAGUUUUAUUUCUAUUUUUCCUUUUCUAAACAUUAGCCCUAAAUGUGAUGUCCCUUUUAAAUACCUUAAUAACCAUUUCAUGGCUUUUCAAUGACAUUCACCUAGAUUAUUCAUGUAUCUACUUAAGACACUAAUUGCAAAUGCAAGAUCAGGUCUGGUACAGAUCAUGACAAACAUAAAUGAGCCAACAACAUUUGCAUAAUGAACAUUUUCCAUCUUAUUUCUUUCCAUUUCAGUUUUAGGGCACUGUUCUACAUAAAAUUUAAAAUGACCACCUAAAGUUAACGUGACUUCUUUAGCUUCAAUCAAAGAAAAUCUGCAUAAUAUCUUUGAAAUAUAUAAUUGUUGAGUGAGAAACAAACUAUGAUCAAAUCAAUUUCUCCUAAUCUCCAUUUCUAAAAUUCUUUUUGCAGGAUCUAGAUCUUUCAUUUCAAAUUCCUAUUUUAAUUUUUGCUUAAUGUUUUUAAUCUCAGUUAUAUCGCACCCAGCCAACAACAUAUCAUCAACAUAUAACAAAAGAUAACAUGAAUCAGGGCCCCCAUUUCCUUUAUAGUAAAAACAAGGAUCAUAUUCACUUCUAUUAAAAUCAAGUCCUUUAAUAAAAGUAUCAAACCUGAUAUACCAUUGCCUGGGGGCUUGUUUCAAGCCAUAGAGAGAUUUCUGUAAGAGACACACACAGUUUUCUUUUCCUUUCUGUUCAAAACCUUUUGGUUGAGUCAUAUAAAUCUUUUCAUUCAAAUUUCCAUAAAGAAAAGCAAUUUUCACAUCUAAUUGUUCCAAUUCAAAAUCAAAACGUGAAACAAGAACAAGUAGAAGUCUUAUGGAAGUAUAUUUGACUACUGGAGAAAAGAUUUCAUUGUAGUCAAUACCUUCUCUUUGGUUAAAACCUUUAGCAACUAAUCUGGCCUUGAAUAUAAAAUUUCCCUCUUUCUGAUCAACUUCUUUUAUUUUAUAAACCCAUUUGCAGUCAAUGAUCUUCUUCCCUUUAGGUUUAUUUACUAAAAUCUAAGUUUUAUUGUUAGUCAAUGAGAGCAUUUCAUCUUCCAUGGCUGAAAGCCAAUGUUUUGAAUAUUUCCUUUAAUGGCCUCUUCAUAUAUCUCAAGCUCAUUGUCUAAAAGAUGUUGCACACUAGCUGCAGUAUUAAAAUCAAGUUCUCUAUACCUUAAGGGUGGUAUGAUUUUCCUUCUUUCUCUAUCUCUAGCAAAAUGAUAAUCUUCUAAAGGGUUUAACUGUCGGUCAGGUUCACGAGCAAGUUCAGUAACCUGUUCUUGAGCAUGCUCCACCUCAAACUGAUCUUCAUUUUCAAAGUUUGAAUUUAUAUGAAUUAUAUCAGAUUGCAAAAAUGUCUAUCUUGAUCACUUUCAGUUCCCUUUUUCUUUAAUACAGGAAAGAUCCAUUUCAUUGAAGAUAAUAUUUGUGCUGAUUAUUACUCUAUACCCUCACUAAUCCUUUAACCAAAUUUUAUAACCUUUAACACGUUCACCAUAUCCAAGGAAAAUGCCUUUAAUUGACCUAGGUUCUAACUUUCCUUCAUUUUGGUGUACAUAUGCUGCACAACCAAAGGCCUUUAGUUUGGAGUAGUCAAUAGUGUGACUAUUCCAAACAUGGUCAGGUGUGUUAUAGUCCAGUGAUUUUGUAGGGCAUUUAUUUAUUAAAAAUGAGGCAGUUUUAACAGCUUCCCCCCUGAACAGUUUUGGAAGACCUGCACUUAUUAACAUGCAUCUGACUCUCUCUAAAAGGGUUCUAUUCAUCAUUUCUGCUAACACAUUCUAUUGAGGAGUGUAGGUGACAGUCCUAUGUCUAAGGAUUCCAUUAUCCUUACAAAAGUUAUCAAAUUCUUCAUUACAGAAUUUAAGGUCAUUAUCAGUCCUAAGGGCUUUAACAUUCCUAUUUACUUGAUUUUCAAUACAUGUGUUUCCAAUUAAUAAAACUUUGAAAGGUAUUAGAUUUAUUUUUCAAAAGAAUGACCCAAUUCUUUCUUGAAAAAUCAUCAACAAUCAGGAAAUAGUAUUUGAAACCAGAGUAUGUGCUCACAGGAGAUGGUCCCCACAGAUCAGCAUGCAAAUAAUCAAGAAUAUAUUUAGAUUUAUGAAUACCAGAAGCAAAUGGCAACUUUCUUUACUUUCCAUAUAAACAGUGUUCACAAAAGGACACUUUUUCAGCCUUAUCAUUUCCUAGGUAACCUUGUUUCUUAAGGACAAGCAAGUUUUUAUCACUUAUGUGUCCCAACCUUUUAUGCCAUAUUUCAGAUUUGUCAGACAGAGAUAUAGUUGCAGCAAUGUUUUGAUUCUUUUGAUAUGUAGCUUCCAAAACAUAUAUUCCAUUUGAUUUUUCUACCUAAUUACCUCAGCAAAUUUUCUUUGAAGUGAUAGAACACCUUUGGCUAUGAUUGUGUUAAAACCUUCAUCAUCAAGUGUACCCAAAGAGAUUAAAUUCCUCUUUAAAUUAGAAAGAUACCUUGUUUUAUUUUGAGUUAGCAAAUUUCCAUUUUUUAGCUUUAACAUAAUCUUUCCAAUUCCUUUAAUUUUGCAAGGAAAAUCAUUUCUCAUAGUUACUUGUCCCCCAUUAGUUUCAUAAAGUUCAAUAAAACAUUUUUUGUGAGGUGACAUAUGAAAAGUACACCCAGAAUCAAGUAUCCAGUCAUUUUUAUUGGGGUUUGACAGGUCACAUAGACUUGUCCAUUUGAGGCUGCAGCUCUUUCAUAAGCUAUAGCAGCUCCAACUUCAACUUUAUUUGUAUUUUUCAGUACCUCAAUCCUUUUUAUACAAUCUCUAAUAUAGUUACCCUCUUUUCCACAAAAAUAACAUUUCCUACCUUUGGCCUUGUUAUUAUUCUUUAUAAAUUUUGAUUUGCCAUUUUGAAAAUAUGUAGAGAAAUCUUUUGUUUUUCCAAAAAUUUUAUUCAAGUAAUGAUUAUUAUUAUUCUUCUUUAAGGCAUUGUUACCCUUAACAUUGUAUCCUACUCUAGUUAUGGAGGUUUUAGAUUCACUUUUAAACUCCAGAUCUUUAUUCCUUAAAGAAGUAGUAAUAAUAUCAAUAGUUACAUAAGUUCUACCAUAUUCAAGGGCAUGUUUCACUUCUUUGUAUUUAUCAGAUAAAGAAGAUAACAGAGCCACAGAUUUUUGGUCAUUAGAUAAAGUCUCACCACUAUUGGUGAUAUCUUAAGAUAGUUUAUUAAACCUAUCAAGAUUCAUCUCAAGAUCACUAUUAGGAUCAAAUUUGAAACUGAAAAAUUGUUUCCACAAGUAACAUUUAUUGGGAAGUGUUUUAGUUUGAUAGAAUGACUCAAGUUUUGUCCAAAUUUCAACUGCAGUGGUGGUUUUCCCUACCUCCCUAAUUACACUGUCUGAGAGAUGCAAGAAAAUAGUGCUCCAUGCAAUUUCAUCUUGUUCAUUUCUUCAAUUUUCAGUGACCUCUUCACCCCAAGAUUCAUCAAUGACUUUAACACAUCUUUGUUGCAUUAAAAGAGCUUUCAUCUUUUGACUCCAGAGACUAUAGUCUCCUUUGCUGUUCCAAAUUUCAAUGUCAACUUUUGUACUUGUCAUAGUUUUUGAAGAUCUCAUUAUUUUUGAAAAAAUAGUGGAAAGUUAAAGUACAUUGUGGAGAAAUAAUCCUUAUACGCACAAAGUGUAAACACACAAAGUGUUGGUGUGCAGAUAUUGCUCACAAAGAGGCACAAUAUGUAUAACAGAGAAUGUAGGUAAUCAAAUAAACCCUCAAUAAAAAAUAAAAAAUAAAUAAAAAAAAAAACCAAAAACAGAUACCUUCAAAAAAAAUAAAUUUUAACAGCUAUGAUUGAAGAAACCGUUAAAUCCAAUCCCCAAAGAUUCUAGGGUUCUCGCAUGAAACCCUAAAUAGAAGAAGAUCCAGGUGGGUUUCAACUAAGAAGAUUAAAAUAUAUCACUAGAAAUGAAGAUUAAUGAGAGUUUUAGGGUUAGAAGCUUGUUACCAACACAUCUCAAGCCAAAAAUGUAAAAUAGUGAAUACCAAACUAUUUUGCUUCUCCAUUGAAAGUCGGCGAUCAAGAACCCUAGAAAAACACAAUCGAAGGUUCUGACCGUCAAGAACGCCACAAAGUACCAGAUCGAAGAUUAAGCUCAGAUCGAAUGCUCUGAUUCCACUGUUGGUAUAUUUUUUAGUCCCAAACAUUCACAACAAAGAGUAACUAGAAAUAUUAACAAGAAACACCAAGAAUUUUUCGCCCGUAAGCCCGAAUGUUCACCCAAAAUGGGCUACUUACCACGUUGAGCAUCAACCGUAGUGGUUAUCGCUUCAAUCCACUAAAAAUAACCAGUAAAAGUUUCAAUACAAGGUUACAGAACCAAAAAUCACACAGAUCUACCCUCAGACUUCCCUUUAUAUCAAAAAACCUAACCUUAGAAAUGAUUACACCAAGUAACCCUAACCAAGCUGUUUAACAAGAGCAGAAAUUAAAACCUCACAGUUUAGGCACUCUAGAUCUCACCAAGAAUAUCUAGAUUACAAAAGUUAUUAGAAAAAUCACAGAUUUUCAGAGAGAAAGACGAAGACGAAGAAGAGAGAAAACCCUAGAAAUCUCUCAAAAUAUCUGAUUGCACUGCCCAACGAAAAGUCACAGAGAGUAUAUAUAUCAGCAUGCAUGCAGCGGUUGUAAAGGCUCCACGUGUUAUGAUCUAAACCAUCCAAUUUGAGAAAACGUGUUUAAUAAAAGAAAACGUGCCUUUGUCCAAUUUAAACAAAAGGAUCACAUUCUUUAAUUUAUCCAAAACUGGGUUGCAUCAUUGAGCCUCCAAAAAAUGUCAAGCACCAUUUUUAACAAUUUGCAUUUGUAUUCAAGUCACAAUUUUUCUGAGUUGAUUGAAUAUGGAAGAGAAAGAUAAUGUUCCUCCAAUCACAUCAGACUAGGCACAUUUGAACCCACGUCCAGGAUGAAAUGUACACCAAAGCCAAUCCAUUUUUCCAUAUUAAGGGGGAGAAACGAAGUCACAAAAAUAUUCAUGUCAUAUCACAUUGAGUAUAAACGAUGGAGGCGACAACUACAAUUUAAAUAAUUAAAGCAUGUAGAGCUAUAUUAGAGGUAAUUAAUUCGGUCAGAAUCCAAUUUUAUUCGAGUACACUAAUAAUCAUGUGAGUCAAAACAAAAAAUUCUUAUUGGAUGAGGCGAUAAUCUCCAAUGAUUCUCGCAAAAGAGGAUAGCAUAAAGAGCCUGUCAAUUGAAUGGUAAGAGCUUCUCUAAAAGACUUUCUAUAAAUAUAAAAUGCUUUUUAUUUUAAGGAGCUAAUGCUUAAAAAUAAAAUAAAUAAAUAAAUAUAAACUUCAAGAGAUUCUAUUUUAAUUAAUUUUUUUUUUUUUAAAAAUUGAGAGUGAGUUUGACUCUUCAAAUUUAGAUUGACUAUCCAUUAAAAUAUAAAAAAGUAUGUUAAAAAAUAUGAGGAGAAAUCAACAAAUAUUUUUUGAGAAAAGUAACAUAAACAGUCAAUAUAGAGAGCAUUAUUGGAAUGCAUAAAAAUUUUGAUUAUCUAAAUUCAAAGAUGGUUUCUAUAAUUUUGAGUCGAUACCAUAACUAAAUUUAUAGGAAAAGAGAACUAUGAAUAAAGGAACCAAGCAAAGUGUACGAUGAAAGUGGUUUAGUUGAAACAAAAAAGAGCAAAGCUCGACAUACCUAUCUUAGCAACGAGGGUAAGAUGAAAAGAUUCACGAAUUCCCUUGUGUCUUGGAUUUAGCAUUCUCACUCUUUCAAUGCCACUUCCUUGGACCUUCACACAACACAUGCACAUAAGAUAAGACUAUAAAGUUAUUAUGGCCUAAAUAAAUUGUAGGAUCAACACAUAAUUAAACUCCCUAUGUGCUAAUGGAAAAAUAAUAACUCACGAUUCCCAUCAUAAUCUUUAUUUCCAAAUUGCGUCAAAGAUAUAUAUGAAUCGAGUAAGCUCCCUAUGUGUUAACGAGCUUCUCAUCUCUUUAUUAUGAUAGUUCGAAAUACAUGUUUUUUUUAAAUACAUUACUCAAAUUACAUAUUUAACACCAUUUCUUACCAUUCCCUCCAUAUUCUUUGUUUCCAAAUUGAGUCAUAUUAAUAUGUGAAUAGAAUAAAUUCCCUAUGUGUGGAUGAACUUCUCAUCAUUUUAAUGCUUCUCUGUAAAGAAGAAUUAAACUUUGAUCAAAAUCACUUUGCUUUAACCACUAACUCCACUUUGUGGACUCAAUGGUAAAGCUAAAAUAAGUACUAUUUUAAAUAGUAAUAAUGUCGCAUCGUGUUGAAGAUGAGUUGUUAUACAGAAAAAGGAAAAAUGAUUGUGUCCUUUGUUAAGAAAAUGGUUAAAAGUUGAACAAUAAUAAUAAGCAAAUAAAGUAUUAAAUAAUAAUAUUAUUCCCAAUUUAAAAUUUAAACUUUUAAAAAUCUUACAAAAACAUCAAUCAACAUCUUGCUCUUAUUACUAUACACGUUUUGUUUCCUAGAGGCAAUAAGCCUCUAAUGGGCCCAUACAAAAUUAUAUUGGGCCAACAAAAUAUCCUCUAAAUCGUGCUUAACAAAUGAUUUUGUUUUGAGUAUGGGCCACAAACUUUAUUCUUUAGUUCAAAACUCACACGCGGAAAAAACGUGGUAGUUAACCGCCAUAUUGCGACUUAGAGACGCAAAAACAGAUUCUUUGUAACUGAACAUUUUUUUUCCAACGCACACAUGAUACUUAGACGGCCCACAAUUUACGCGCGUGCACGUUGUCUUGCACUUGUACUUUACUUUUUUAAUCAGAUAUGCAAUAUAUACGAAAAUUGGCGGUCAAAAUUGAUACAGAUGACACUUGACAGUAAUCUAUCGAUUAAUGGCAAAUAAAGGUAGCAUCUGGUGCAAAUUUGGCAUGCAGCAAUUCCUCUGUAAAAGAGGAAUUGUUGUUUUUUAAUUCUAAAAUAUUUUUAGAUUACAUGCCUGUCACUAGGCUCCCUCACCGUCCACCUGCGUCUUGUUUACUCUAAUGGCUCGUUUGGUUAUUUAUGAUUUGGCUUUGCCAAAAUUACUGAUCCACAAGACCAUAAUUGUUUAUUAGUAAUUGUUCGUGUUGUAUUAUAAGAACUUUUUAGCAUGUUGGAAUCAUGGUUGACAUGAAAGGAAGAUAGACGUAUAUCAAGGAAAAAAAUCACUCAUUGAUAUAAAAAAAAAAAAAAAAAGUAGUGAUGCUACCGAAAAAUUUGUACCUUGUUCAACCUGAGCAAGUCGCAGUUCAAGGAUGAGGAUGACGGCUAACAAGCACUCAUUUCGAUUGGAUUGACCUUGAAAAUGGUCAAAAACUAUUUCGAAUAGCUCUCCUCAGUACUUAGCUAACUCGAGGUAGGUCGAAGGUCGAUGUAAGUACUAUACCAAAACUGUCUUUUGCAACGCUAGAAAGACGUUGUCGUAGACCUUUUACAGUGUUCAGGUGUAUGUUGCAAAUCUCGAUGUUGCCAUAGAGGAGAAGGUUACAACAAUGUUUUUUGAAUGUUGCGAAUAACCUUUUUACAGUAUUCUUUGAACGUUGCUAAUAACCUUUUUUCAACGUUUUAUGAACAUUGCGAAUAACUUUUUGUAGCGUUCUUUGACUGUUGCGAACAAUCUUUUUACAGCCUUCGCUGAAUUUUUCGAAUAACCUUUUUGCAGUGUUCUUCGAACGUUGCUAAUAACCUUUUUGCAAUGUUCUAUGAAGGUUACUAAUAAACUUUUUGAAAUGUUUUAUGUCUAUUGCCUAUACUUAUAUCUUUAGUUUUUGUAACAUAUUUUGACCGUUGACGCGGGUCUCUCUCUCUCUCUCCCUUUUUUUUUUUUUUGAUAAUGUUGGUUUUUUUAAAAGAGUACACCUUGCAAUCACCACAUUCAACGCUAAUAUUCUUUACUUCUACGACUUAUAAUAAAUUAUGGAGAAUUAAAAAAAAAAAAAAAGCUGAUUAAUGUAUGCAGAGUUCUUUUGAUUUCAUUAUAAAGACCAAACAAAUCAUAGUUCUUGAUUUAUCAUUAAAAUGGCCUCACUAAAAUGAUUUUCAUUGAAGCUAGCAUAUUAUAUUGAUGUAAAAAAGAUUUUUUGAUCAGUAGAGUUAAAUCUUCAUUCUAGUAUCUCUACUAACGAUUGAGUUCGGUCCCUUAUGCUUUUCAAUAAUUAGGAAAGUUAACUGCAUACUUGAUAAGUAAUACCAAGUUUCUAAGGUAUGAAGAUCAUAGACAAAGUUUAUAGAAAGUUAGCUAACACUUUCUACAAAUUUGGCAUGGGUCACUUAACAAAACGUCUACCUGCCGACCCACCACCAAAAAUAAAUACAAUGAAAAGAGAGAGAAAUAGAAAUAUGGAGAGAGAAAUCUAUAAUGCCUUUAAAACCCCUCACCAGCAGAUGUGGAAAAAAUCUAUUCAAACUAACAACAUGGAAAACAGGCGAACAAAUUGGAAUACUCAAAUAAAAUUUGCUAAAAAUUUUAGAGAUACCAAAAAAAAAAAAAUCACAUAAAGGAUGUAGUGGAUUGACAAAUCGUGGGUUCAUUGCACUAUAGAAACAUAAAAUAUGAUGUAAAUUGCAAAAUCAAUUAUCACGCAUAGCACUUACCCAUUUGAUAUCCCCGGUCAGUCUCGAGUCAUAAAAAGAAACUUUUGCAACAUGGUUAGCAUGGACUAUGAGACCUAUAUCAGCACUGCCAUGGGCAUUUUUUGUCCCUUCCCCUUUUUGAGGAUAGUUUAGGUAAGUAAAUAGCUCCUUUGAACAUUCAUUCGCCCCUUUCGUGACAGUAGAAGUCUUUAAACAACUUAACACACAGAAUACAUGAUGGACCACGAAGAUCUAAUAGAGCCCCUAGGAAAAAUCC
Molecule: long non-coding RNA, 9963 nt
Filed under: Olea europaea (common olive)
Lineage: Eukaryota; Viridiplantae; Streptophyta; Magnoliopsida; Lamiales; Oleaceae
Description: long non-coding RNA (OEUR_LNC013942)
Source: RNAcentral